GUCCCUGUAGCUCAAUGGAUAGAGCAGAUCUCUCCUAAGGAUAAGAUGGAGGUUCGACUCCUCCCGGGGACACCA
RNAcentral lists this transfer RNA (75 nucleotides) under Candidatus Uhrbacteria bacterium RIFOXYC2_FULL_47_19. RNAcentral describes it as "tRNA-Arg". It matches the Rfam family "tRNA". From Rfam's summary of the family: Transfer RNA (tRNA) molecules are approximately 80 nucleotides in length. The record is from RNAcentral. Lineage: Bacteria; Candidatus Uhriibacteriota.